This 69-nucleotide transfer RNA is filed under the name Gastrophysa polygoni. RNAcentral's name for it is "tRNA-Met". It matches the Rfam family "tRNA". Rfam says of the family: Transfer RNA (tRNA) molecules are approximately 80 nucleotides in length. Their secondary structure includes four short double-helical elements and three loops (D, anti-codon, and T loops). Lineage: Eukaryota; Metazoa; Arthropoda; Insecta; Coleoptera; Chrysomelidae. The record is from RNAcentral.
AAAAGGUAAGCUAAAGAAAGCUACUGGGUUCAUACCUCAUUUAUAAAGGUUGUACUCCUUUUCUUUUUA